ACCCGGCACAAGCGGUGGAUGAUGUGGAUUAAUUCGAUGCAACGCGAAAACCUUACCUACCCUUGACAUGUCCAGGAGUCUUGAGAGAUUGAGAUGUGCCCGAAAGGGAACUGGAACACAGGUGCUGCAUGGCUGUCGUCAGCUCGUGUCGUGAGAUGUUGGGUUAAGUCCCGCAACGAGCGCAACCCUUGUCGUUAAUUGCCAUCAUUUAGUUGGGCACUUUAACGAGACUGCCGGUGACAAACCGGAGGAAGUGGGGAUGACGUCAAGUCCUCAUGGCCCUUAUGGGUAGGGCUUCACACGUCAUACAAUGGUCGGUACAAAGGGUUGCCAAGCCGCGAGGUGGAGCCAAUCCCAGAAAGCCGAUCGUAGUCCGGAUUGCAGGCUGCAACUCGCCUGCAUGAAGUCGGAAUCGCUAGUAAUCGUGGAUCAGCAUGUCACGGUGAAUACGUUCCCGGGUCUU
This 463-nucleotide ribosomal RNA is filed under the name uncultured Dechloromonas sp. RNAcentral describes it as "bacterial SSU rRNA". It matches the Rfam family "Bacterial small subunit ribosomal RNA", at positions 919 to 1382 of the family's 1533-position model. Lineage: Bacteria; Pseudomonadati; Pseudomonadota; Betaproteobacteria; Rhodocyclales; Azonexaceae. The record is from RNAcentral.